RNAcentral lists this ribosomal RNA (399 nucleotides) under uncultured Pseudomonas sp. RNAcentral's name for it is "bacterial SSU rRNA". It matches the Rfam family "Bacterial small subunit ribosomal RNA", at positions 985 to 1382 of the family's 1533-position model. Lineage: Bacteria; Pseudomonadati; Pseudomonadota; Gammaproteobacteria; Pseudomonadales; Pseudomonadaceae. The record is from RNAcentral.
CAUGCAGAGAACUUUCCAGAGAUGGAGUUGGUGCCUUCGGGAACGUCUGACACAGGUGCUGCAUGGCUGUCGUCAGCUCGUGUCGUGAGAUGUUGGGUUAAGUCCCGUAACGAGCGCAACCCUUGUCCUUAGUUACCAGCACGUUAUGGUGGGCACUCUAAGGAGACUGCCGGUGACAAACCGGAGGAAGGUGGGGAUGACGUCAAAUCAUCAUGGCCCUUACGGCCUGGGCUACACACGUGCUACAAUGGCCGGUACAAAGGGCAGCUACCUGGUGACAGGAUGCUAAUCUCAAAAGCCGGUCUCAGUUCGGAUCGGAGUCUGCAACUCGACUGCGUGAAGUCGGAAUCGCUAGUAAUCGUGAAUCAGAAUGUCACGGUGAAUACGUUCCCGGGCCUU